Molecule: ribosomal RNA, 340 nt
Filed under: Salmonella enterica
Lineage: Bacteria; Pseudomonadati; Pseudomonadota; Gammaproteobacteria; Enterobacterales; Enterobacteriaceae
Also listed under: 3 other names
Description: partial 23S ribosomal RNA
Rfam family: Bacterial large subunit ribosomal RNA
Source: RNAcentral
UCCUCCAAGGCUAAAUACUCCUGACUGACCGAUAGUGAACCAGUACCGUGAGGGAAAGGCGAAAAGAACCCCGGCGAGGGGAGUGAAAAAGAACCUGAAACCGUGUACGUACAAGCAGUGGGAGCACAGGUUUACCUGUGUGACUGCGUACCUUUUGUAUAAUGGGUCAGCGACUUAUAUUCUGUAGCAAGGUUAACCGUAUAGGGGAGCCGUAGGGAAACCGAGUCUUAACCGGGCGUUAAGUUGCAGGGUAUAGACCCGAAACCCGGUGAUCUAGCCAUGGGCAGGUUGAAGGUUGGGUAACACUAACUGGAGGACCGAACCGACUAAUGUUGAAAAA